This 497-nucleotide ribosomal RNA is filed under the name uncultured bacterium. RNAcentral describes it as "partial 16S ribosomal RNA". It matches the Rfam family "Bacterial small subunit ribosomal RNA", at positions 28 to 507 of the family's 1533-position model. The record is from RNAcentral.
GACGAACGCUGGCGGCGUGCCUAAUACAUGCAAGUUGAGCGCUGAAGGUUGGUACUUGUACCAACUGGAUGAGCAGCGAACGGGUGAGUAACGCGUGGGGAAUCUGCCUUUGAGCGGGGGACAACAUUUGGAAACGAAUGCUAAUACCGCAUAAAAACUUUAAACACAAGUUUUAAGUUUGAAAGAUGCAAUUGCAUCACUCAAAGAUGAUCCCGCGUUGUAUUAGCUAGUUGGUGAGGUAAAGGCUCACCAAGGCGAUAAUACAUAGCCGACCUGAGAGGGUGAUCGGCCACAUUGGGACUGAGACACGGCCCAAACUCCUACGGGAGGCAGCAGUAGGGAAUCUUCGGCAAUGGACGAAAGUCUGACCGAGCAACGCCGCGUGAGUGAAGAAGGUUUUCGGAUCGUAAAACUCUGUUGGUAGAGAAGAACGUUGGUGAGAGUGGAAAGCUCAUCAAGUGACGGUAACUACCCAGAAAGGGACGGCUAACUACGUG